RNAcentral lists this ribosomal RNA (424 nucleotides) under Verrucomicrobiota bacterium. RNAcentral's name for it is "Verrucomicrobia bacterium partial 16S ribosomal RNA". It matches the Rfam family "Bacterial small subunit ribosomal RNA", at positions 355 to 776 of the family's 1533-position model. Lineage: Bacteria; Pseudomonadati; Verrucomicrobiota. The record is from RNAcentral.
UGAGGAAUAUUGGUCAAUGGGCGAGAGCCUGAACCAGCCAAGUAGCGUGCGGGAUGACGGCCCUAUGGGUUGUAAACUGCUUUUAUAUGGGAAUAAAGUGAGGGACGUGUCCCUUAUUGCAUGUACCAUACGAAUAAGGACCGGCUAAUUCCGUGCCAGCAGCCGCGGUAAUACGGAAGGUCCAGGCGUUAUCCGGAUUUAUUGGGUUUAAAGGGAGCGUAGGCUGUUUGUUAAGCGUGUUGUGAAAUGUAAGAGCUCAACUUUUAGAUUGCAGCGCGAACUGGCAGACUUGAGUGCGCACAACGUAGGCGGAAUUCAUGGUGUAGCGGUGAAAUGCUUAGAUAUCAUGACGAACUCCGAUUGCGAAGGCAGCUUACGGGAGCGCAACUGACGCUAAAGCUCGAAGGUGCGGGUAUCGAACAGG